UCAGGUUGAGGAUCACCUGCAUUUCUUGGGCUGUCAUCCACAACUCUAAGAUCAUGAAGUUCUUCAUCAUCCUGUUCUUGGUUGGUGUGGUCUGUGCUGUGGGCUCUAGCUUCCCUUCAGAAACAGCAGUGGACAACAUUCCCAGGAAGGAAGAGACUAUAGUCAGAGACAAUGCCAGGACCAGCACCAUUGCCAGGGACAGCAGCAUUGCUCCUGACACCACCCCAGAGUCCUCAGCAUACAAAAUUAUGAAGAUAAUAAGAAAUCGUGUCGAGCAAGUCAUUCGCUAUCUGGAAGAUUUUGUGAACCCUAAUUGGAGGAACACUCAGGAGAGGCAACGGAGACCAUAGACAAGAUGUCUUAUUCUUGUCUUCUUUACCUACCCUCUUUCUACCCCUCCCAUCACUCUCUGACCACCUUUAGAGCUAGGGACAAAAUCUAUGGCAUUUAAUAAAAUUUAUCUGGUGAUGGAAAGAAAAAAAGUUAA
Molecule: long non-coding RNA, 487 nt
Organism: Sarcophilus harrisii (Tasmanian devil)
Lineage: Eukaryota; Metazoa; Chordata; Mammalia; Dasyuromorphia; Dasyuridae
Exons: 3
Source: RefSeq, a predicted model, not a curated record